This is a long non-coding RNA of Brachypodium distachyon (stiff brome), 1802 nucleotides long. RefSeq lists it as uncharacterized. The transcript is spliced from 9 exons. The record is from RefSeq and is a predicted model, not a curated record. Lineage: Eukaryota; Viridiplantae; Streptophyta; Magnoliopsida; Poales; Poaceae.
UCUCCCCUCGCCUUCCUCGCCUCCCGGCACCUGACCACGGUGCGCCUGGACGGCGUCAGGCUCUACGGGAAGGGGCUCCUGGAUUUCUCCCCUGCGCCGCGCUCCUGGAGCUCGGCCUCACGCGCUGCCGCCUCGGAGGCGACGAGGUCCCCUUCGUGUCCCCCUCGCUGGAGCGCCUCCGCGUCUCGUGUCCUGCCACAUGGAGGCGUCCAGCCGACGAUUCACGGAGCAGCCGGCGGUGACAGAACGGACGGUAUCAACGCCGAGUCUACGUUAUCUGCGGAUAUCCGAUGACCGCGAACCUCGCGAGCGAUUUCGCAAACUAAAUAAUCUCCUUCCCUGCCUUGGUGGACUCCUGAUGCACAGACUACUGCAGUUGUCUGUGACGACAAGAUGAACCUAAGAAUACAAUCUCUGAUUGAUCUUUGGUGAUGGCCAUCGUGUUGCUAGUUGAUGGGGCAUCCUCAAGCGCAUCCUCUGAACUGACUGCAACGGGGAGUUGCUUCCGAAACAGAGUUGGUGUCAGAAAUCAACUGAAGUUGAAGUCCCUGGCGGAUGACCGCAAAUUAGUACUGUUGACAAUUAAGCUCCGAAGGAAACGGCUAUAAAUACCUGCUCGGCACCAGAAUUGAUCCUGCUCCUUUCUCAGAGCUCUGGCUUCAAUUCUUCCUCCACCUUCGCUGCCAUGUGGUUCUGGUCAUCGGCCUCCUCUGUAGUGUUUGAGCUCCCUGGCAACACCUACCCUGUCCGCCGUUUCUACAUUGCCAUGAACAUUCGUGAACCCGCGAAACCCUACUUCCUCGACGUCGACACCGGUGGGGGUGCUCAUCACGUGGCUGGAGUGCGACACCACCUGCCGGAGCUGCCACCAGGUACACUGGAGUUAGGGCUGUUCAGAAACGGGUUGAGCUGAACCCAUGGAAACAGUCAGGUACCACACGAUCUGUACAAACCAAGACGGAUGAACAAGCUGCUAUGCGGAGACGAGCGAUGUGUCAAAGUGCACAAAGACCUGGACAUCGAGCAGGACUGCACCCUGGACCCUAACCAAUGUGAUUACGAGAUAGAAUACACCAACGGUGAGAACUCCAUGGGCGUGCUCCUCGCCGACACGUUCUCCCUCCCCACCACCACCAACGACCGCCUCAACCUUGCCUUCGGCUGUGGAUACGGCCAUCAAGGUGGGCAGGAGGUGACACCGGUGGAUGGCGUCCUCAGGAUCGGUCGGGAACGGGGGACUUCGUCUCACAGCUCAAGCAACAAGGGGUGAUCACCGAGAAUGUCGUCGUCUAUUGCCUCAGCGUCCAUGGAGGGGCCUACCUCUUUGUUGGGGGAGACAAUGUGCCCUCUUCGGGCAUGACCUGGGUUCCAAUGGAUUUACUACUCACCGGCCCACACAGCACACUCAACCUCAACGUACUGUAAGCAAGGAGCCAAUGGAAGUCGUCUUCGAUAGCGGUAGCACCUACAGCAUUGUUCUUGAGGAGACAUAUGCUCGACUUGUUUCAGCGGUGGGAGUCACUCUCCAGGGUUCAUCACUCGCGGAGGUGGUUGAUCCUAAUCCUGAGCUGCCUCGAUGCUGGCAAGAUAGUGAGAGAACUGAAUCUCCAAAGCUGUGCUUUCAGAAAUUUACUUGGCAUCUUUCAACCCAUUCGAGUGGCAUUUUUCGAAGAAUUAAUCUACAGAUUGUAGUUGCAUUUUUCAAAAGAUGAGAAUUGCAGUGGCUUUUUUUGAAUUCGCCAAAAUUGUAGUGGCAUAUAUCAUAUAAACCCAUGUACUUAUAUCAAAACAUUCAUACACUA